CUUAAAUGAAUUGACGGGGGCCCGCACAAGCGGUGGAGCAUGUGGUUUAAUUCGAAGCAACGCGAAGAACCUUACCAGGUCUUGACAUACUCGUGCUAUUCCUAGAGAUAGGAAGCUCCUUCGGGACACGGGAUACAGGUGGUGCAUGGUUGUCGUCAGCUCGUGUCGUGAGAUGUUGGGUUAAGUCCCGCAACGAGCGCAACCCUUAUUGUUAGUUGCCAUCAUUAAGUUGGGCACUCUAGCGAGACUGCCGGUAAUAAACCGGAGGAAGGUGGGGAUGACGUCAAAUCAUCAUGCCCCUUAUGACCUGGGCUACACACGUGCUACAAUGGUUGGUACAACGAGUCGCAAGACAGUGAUGUCAAGCUAAUCUCUUAAAGCCAAUCUCAGUUCGGAUUGUAGGCUGCAACUCGCCUACAUGAAGUCGGAAUCGCUAGUAAUCGCGGAUCAGCACGCCGCGGUGAAUACGUUCCCGGGCCUUGUACACACCGCCCGUCACACCACGAGAGCUUGUAAUACCCAAAGCCGGUGAGCUAACCUUUUAGGAGGCAGCCGUCUAAGGUAGGAUAGAUGAUUGGGGUGAAGUCGUAACAAGGUAGC
This 600-nucleotide ribosomal RNA is filed under the name uncultured bacterium. RNAcentral's name for it is "bacterial SSU rRNA". It matches the Rfam family "Bacterial small subunit ribosomal RNA", at positions 900 to 1500 of the family's 1533-position model. The record is from RNAcentral.